GACGAACGCUGGCGGCGUGCCUAAUACAUGCAAGUUGAGCGAUGAAGAUUGGUGCUUGCUCCUAUUUGAAGAGCAGCGUACGGGUGAGUAACGCGUGAGGAACCUGCCUUUGAGCGUGGGAUAACAUUUGGAAACGAAUGCUAAUACCGCAUAAUAUCUUUAAACAUAAGUUUUAAGUUUGAAAGAUGCAUUUGCAUCACUCAAAUAUGAUCUCGCGUUGUAUUAGCUAGUUGGUGAGGUAAAGGCUCACCAAGGCGAUCAUACAUAGCCGACCUGAGAGGGGGGUCGGCCCACAUGGGACUGGGAAAAGGCCCAAACCCCUAAGGGGGGCAACAGUAGGGAAAUUUUGGCAAUGGACGAAAGUCUGGACGAGCAAAGCCGCGUGGGUGAAGGAGGGUUUCGGGUCGUAAAACUCUGUUGGUAGAGAAGGACGUUGGGGGGAGGGAAAAACGCAUGUAGUGACGGUAACUAACCAGAAAGGGACGGCUAACUACGUG
RNAcentral lists this ribosomal RNA (497 nucleotides) under uncultured bacterium. Its description in RNAcentral is "partial 16S ribosomal RNA". It matches the Rfam family "Bacterial small subunit ribosomal RNA", at positions 28 to 507 of the family's 1533-position model. The record is from RNAcentral.